CCUACGGGUGGCAGCAGUGGGGGAUAUUGCACAAUGGGGGAAACCCUGAUGCAGCGACGCCGCGUGAGUGAAGAAGUAUUUCGGUAUGUAAAGCUCUAUCAGCAGGGACGAAGCAAGUGACGGUACCUGAGGAAGAAGCCACGGCUAACUACGUGCCAGCAGCCGCGGUAAUACGUAGGUGGCACGCGUUAUCCGGAUUUACUGGGUGUAAAGGGCGUGUAGGCGGGAAAGCAAGUCAGAUGUGAAAACCAUGGGCUCAACCUGUGGCCUGCAUUUGGAGCUGUUUUUCUUGAGUACUGGAGAGGCAGACGGAAUGCCUAGUGUAGCGGUGAAAUGCGUAGAUAUUAGGAGGAACACCAGUGGCGAAGGCGGUCUGCUGGACAGCAACUGACGCUGAGGCGCGAAAGCGUGGGGAGCAAACAGGAUUAGAUAGUAGUC
Molecule: ribosomal RNA, 438 nt
Filed under: uncultured bacterium
Lineage: Bacteria
Description: partial 16S ribosomal RNA
Rfam family: Bacterial small subunit ribosomal RNA
Source: RNAcentral